GUGUUUGAGAUAUAAACCAGCCCGCUAGCUUCAGUUUUCGGUGUUAAAAUGACCUGCUAGUUAUUCACGAAUGCGCAGAACAUGUUUUUUGCCGGACUGCGACGACCUACCCCUACACUGCAACCACAAACGUGAGAAUGUCCAUAUAACGUCGGGCAGCCAUUUUCGCCCGUCAGCGCCCAAAUUGAUUGCUGCAUCCAUUUCAUUCAUGGCUCCUCUACCUCCCUUGAGGAUUCAGCUCCGGCAGAGAGAGAUCAAGAGAGCAGACAAAAUGACCAGUCAUCGAAACCUUCCUGGAAAACAAAGAUCUUUCCAAUCUAAUCACUAUUUUGAAGAAGAUAUAAAGUUGAUCAUUGAUAUAUACCUCUUGUAUGAAUACUGUUUUUUAAUUUACUGAUCAAGGGAUGAAAUAUAUUUCAGAUGACAUUUGAUGUAGUCUGUCAUUUUUCAAUGAGUAUAAGAGGACAGUUACUCUAAUAUCAUACGGAUGUUACUCGGACAUGAUGUCCGUGUAACAUUGGUAACUGGAGGUGUUGAGGUGAAUAUAGACCAUAAAUCUUGCAGGUUUCCUUUCAAUUGUGUUAUCAUCUCAUUAAAUAUGUUUCAUGCAUCAAUUAAUUAGCACAUUUCUUGGAAUGUAGCCAAGAUUUUCUAUGCAAGAGAAAAGAUUACCCUUUAGAAAAAAAACAUGAUCUGAAAAUU
This is a long non-coding RNA of Strongylocentrotus purpuratus (purple sea urchin), 702 nucleotides long. RefSeq lists it as uncharacterized. NCBI's taxonomy places the organism in Eukaryota, Metazoa, Echinodermata, Echinoidea, Camarodonta, Strongylocentrotidae. The record is from RefSeq and is a predicted model, not a curated record. The transcript is spliced from 2 exons.